AGAUUAAGUUAUUAAGGGCGCACGGUGGAUGCCUUGGCACUAGAAGCCGAAGAAGGACGUUACUAACGACGAUAUGCUUUGGGUAGCUGUAAGUAAGCGUUGAUCCAGAGAUUUCCGAAUGGGGGAACCCAACAUGAGUGAUGUCAUGUUAUCGACAUGUGAAUUCAUAGCAUGUCAGAAGGCAGACCCGGAGAACUGAAACAUCUUAGUACCCGGAGGAAGAGAAAGAAAAAUCGAUUCCCUGAGUAGCGGCGAGCGAAACGGGAAGAGCCCAAACCAACAAGCUUGCUUGUUGGGGUUGUAGGACACUCUAUACGGAGUUACAAAAGAACAUGUUAGACGAAUCAUCUGGAAAGAUGAAUCAAAGAAGGUAAAAAUCCUGUAGUCGAAAACAUAUUCUCUCUUGAGUGGAUCCUGAGUACGACGGAGCACGUGAAAUUCCGUCGGAAUCUAGGAGGACCAUCUCCUAAGGCUAAAUACUCUCUAGUGACCGAUAGUGAACCAGUACCGUGAGGGAAAGGUGAAAAGUACCCCGGAAGGGGAGUGAAAGAGAACUUGAAACCGUGUGCUUACAAGUAGUCAGAGCCCGUUAAUGGGUGAUGGCGUGCCUUUUGUAGAAUGAACCGGCGAGUUACGAUCUGAUGCAAGGUUAAGCAGCAAAUGUGGAGCCGUAGCGAAAGCGAGUCUGAAUAGGGCGUUGAGUAUUUGGUCGUAGACCCGAAACCAGGUGAUCUACCCUUGGUCAGGUUGAAGUUCAGGUAACACUGAAUGGAGGACCGAACCGACUUACGUUGAAAAGUGAGCGGAUGAACUGAGGGUAGCGGAGAAAUUCCAAUCGAACUUGGAGAUAGCUGGUUCUCUCCGAAAUAGCUUUAGGGCUAGCCUCAAGUGAUGAUUAUUGGAGGUAGAGCACUGUUUGGACGAGGGGCCCCUCUCGGGUUACCGAAUUCAGACAAACUCCGAAUGCCAAUCAAUUUAACUUGGGAGUCAGAACAUGGGUGAUAAGGUCCGUGUUCGAAAGGGAAACAGCCCAGACCACCAGCUAAGGUCCCAAAAUAUAUGUUAAGUGGAAAAGGAUGUGGCGUUGCCCAGACAACUAGGAUGUUGGCUUAGAAGCAGCCAUCAUUUAAAGAGUGCGUAAUAGCUCACUAGUCGAGUGACACUGCGCCGAAAAUGUACCGGGGCUAAACAUAUUACCGAAGCUGUGGAUUGUCCGUAGGACAAUGGUAGGAGAGCGUUCUAAGGGCAUUGAAGCAUGAUCGCAAGGACAUGUGGAGCGUUUAGAAGUGAGAAUGCCGGUGUGAGUAGCGAAAGACGGGUGAGAAUCCCGUCCACCGAUUGACUAAGGUUUCCAGAGGAAGGCUCGUCCGCUCUGGGUUAGUCGGGUCCUAAGCUGAGGCCGACAGGCGUAGGCGAUGGAUAACAGGUUGAUAUUCCUGUACCACCUAGUAUCGUUUUAAUCGAUGGGGGGACGCAGUAGGAUAGACGAAGCGUGCUGUUGGAGUGCACGUCCAAGCAGUAAGGCUGAGUGUUAGGCAAAUCCGGCACUCGUAAGGCUGAGCUGUGAUGGGGAGAGGAAAUUGUUUCCUCGAGUCGUUGAUUUCACACUGCCGAGAAAAGCCUCUAGAUAGAUAACAGGUGCCCGUACCGCAAACCGACACAGGUAGUCAAGAUGAGAAUUCUAAGGUGAGCGAGCGAACUCUCGUUAAGGAACUCGGCAAAAUGACCCCGUAACUUCGGGAGAAGGGGUGCUCUUUAGGGUUCACGCCCAGAAGAGCCGCAGUGAAUAGGCCCAAGCGACUGUUUAUCAAAAACACAGGUCUCUGCUAAACCGUAAGGUGAUGUAUAGGGGCUGACGCCUGCCCGGUGCUGGAAGGUUAAGAGGAGUGGUUAGCUUCUGCGAAGCUACGAAUCGAAGCCCCAGUAAACGGCGGCCGUAACUAUAACGGUCCUAAGGUAGCGAAAUUCCUUGUCGGGUAAGUUCCGACCCGCACGAAAGGCGUAACGAUUUGGGCACUGUCUCAACGAGAGACUCGGUGAAAUCAUAGUACCUGUGAAGAUGCAGGUUACCCGCGACAGGACGGAAAGACCCCGUGGAGCUUUACUGUAGCCUGAUAUUGAAAUUCGGCACAGCUUGUACAGGAUAGGUAGGAGCCAUUGAAACGUGAGCGCUAGCUUACGUGGAGGCGUUGGUGGGAUACUACCCUAGCUGUGUUGGCUUUCUAACCCGCACCACUUAUCGUGGUGGGAGACAGUGUCAGGCGGGCAGUUUGACUGGGGCGGUCGCCUCCUAAAAGGUAACGGAGGCGCUCAAAGGUUCCCUCAGAAUGGUUGGAAAUCAUUCACAGAGUGUAAAGGCAUAAGGGAGCUUGACUGCGAGACCUACAAGUCGAGCAGGGUCGAAAGACGGACUUAGUGAUCCGGUGGUUCCGCAUGGAAGGGCCAUCGCUCAACGGAUAAAAGCUACCCCGGGGAUAACAGGCUUAUCUCCCCCAAGAGUUCACAUCGACGGGGAGGUUUGGCACCUCGAUGUCGGCUCAUCGCAUCCUGGGGCUGUAGUCGGUCCCAAGGGUUGGGCUGUUCGCCCAUUAAAGCGGUACGCGAGCUGGGUUCAGAACGUCGUGAGACAGUUCGGUCCCUAUCCGUCGUGGGCGUAGGAAAUUUGAGAGGAGCUGUCCUUAGUACGAGAGGACCGGGAUGGACAUACCUCUGGUGUACCAGUUGUCGUGCCAACGGCAUAGCUGGGUAGCUAUGUAUGGACGGGAUAAGUGCUGAAAGCAUCUAAGCAUGAAGCCCCCCUCAAGAUGAGAUUUCCCAACUUCGGUUAUAAGAUCCCUCGAAGAUGACGAGGUUAAUAGGUUCGAGGUGGAAGCGUGGCGACACGUGGAGCUGACGAAUACUAAUCGAUCGAAGACUUAAUCAAUUU
This 2926-nucleotide ribosomal RNA is filed under the name Staphylococcus caprae. RNAcentral describes it as "23S ribosomal RNA". It matches the Rfam family "Bacterial large subunit ribosomal RNA". The record is from RNAcentral. Lineage: Bacteria; Bacillati; Bacillota; Bacilli; Caryophanales; Staphylococcaceae.